RNAcentral lists this transfer RNA (72 nucleotides) under Sus scrofa (pig). It matches the Rfam family "tRNA". From Rfam's summary of the family: Transfer RNA (tRNA) molecules are approximately 80 nucleotides in length. Their secondary structure includes four short double-helical elements and three loops (D, anti-codon, and T loops). Further hydrogen bonds mediate the characteristic L-shaped molecular structure. tRNAs have two regions of fundamental functional importance: the anti-codon, which is responsible for specific mRNA codon recognition, and the 3' end, to which the tRNAs corresponding amino acid is attached (by aminoacyl-tRNA synthetases). tRNAs cope with the degeneracy of the genetic code in two manners: having more than one tRNA (with a specific anti-codon) for a particular amino acid; and 'wobble' base-pairing, i.e. permitting non-standard base-pairing at the 3rd anti-codon position. Lineage: Eukaryota; Metazoa; Chordata; Mammalia; Artiodactyla; Suidae. The record is from Rfam by way of RNAcentral.
UCCCUGGUGGUCUAGUGGUUAGGACCCAGCGCUUUGACUGCUGCGGCCCGGGUUCAACGUCUGGUCUGGGAA